This 398-nucleotide RNase P RNA is filed under the name Bacillus sp. SLBN-46. RNAcentral's name for it is "RNase P class B". It matches the Rfam family "Bacterial RNase P class B". From Rfam's summary of the family: Ribonuclease P (RNase P) is a ubiquitous endoribonuclease, found in archaea, bacteria and eukarya as well as chloroplasts and mitochondria. Its best characterised activity is the generation of mature 5'-ends of tRNAs by cleaving the 5'-leader elements of precursor-tRNAs. Cellular RNase Ps are ribonucleoproteins. The record is from RNAcentral. Lineage: Bacteria; Bacillati; Bacillota; Bacilli; Caryophanales; Bacillaceae.
ACGUUCGGGUAAUCGCUGCAAGGAGCUUUGCAACUUGUAGAGGAAAGUCCAUGCUCGCACGAGCUGCGAUGCUCGUAGUGUUCGUGCCUAGUGAAAUCAUAAGCUAGGGCAGCUGGGUCUAGCAUCCAGUUGACGGCCGGGAAAAUACCUAAGUCCAUUAGGAUAUGGUAUGAAUACCUAUAAAAGUGCCACAGUGACGUAGCCUUUCUAGAAAUAGAAAGGGUGGAACGGGUAAACCCCACGAGCGAGAAACCCAAAUUAUGGUAGGGGCGCUUUCUCUGAGGAAUUGAACGAGGAGAAGGACAGAUUCUUUAUGAAUCUGUAGAUAGAUGAUUACCACCUAAGUACGAGACUAACAGUCGCUUGCAGUACUAUGGUACAGAACAUGGCUUACAGAA